GAUGAACGCUGGCGGCGUGCCUAAUACAUGCAAGUCGAGCGAACGGACGAGAAGCUUGCUUCUCUGAUGUUAGCGGCGGACGGGUGAGUAACACGUGGAUAACCUACCUAUAAGACUGGGAUAACUUCGGGAAACCGGGCUAAUACCGGAUAAUAUUUUGAACCGCAUGGUUCAAAAGUGAAAGACGGUCUUGCUGUCACUUAUAGAUGGAUCCGCGCUGCAUUAGCUAGUUGGUAAGGUAACGGCUUACCAAGGCAACGAUGCAUAGCCGACCUGAGAGGGUGAUCGGCCACACUGGAACUGAGACACGGUCCAGACUCCUACGGGAGGCAGCAGUAGGGAAUCUUCCGCAAUGGGCGAAAGCCUGACGGAGCAACGCCGCGUGAGUGAUGAAGGUCUUCGGAUCGUAAAACUCUGUUAUUAGGGAAGAACAUAUGUGUAAGUAACUGUGCACAUCUUGACGGUACCUAAUCAGAAAGCCACGGCUAACUACGUG
RNAcentral lists this ribosomal RNA (496 nucleotides) under uncultured bacterium. RNAcentral's name for it is "partial 16S ribosomal RNA". It matches the Rfam family "Bacterial small subunit ribosomal RNA", at positions 28 to 507 of the family's 1533-position model. The record is from RNAcentral.